CAGCAGCUAGUCCAACCAAGACAACUAAUUUCGACCUAGUAAAUCUCGACCCACCCGAGGCUGCUAA
This 67-nucleotide transfer RNA is filed under the name Paroedura masobe. Its description in RNAcentral is "tRNA-Arg". Lineage: Eukaryota; Metazoa; Chordata; Lepidosauria; Squamata; Gekkonidae. The record is from RNAcentral.